This is a long non-coding RNA of Helicoverpa zea (corn earworm), 671 nucleotides long. RefSeq lists it as uncharacterized. The transcript is spliced from 2 exons. Lineage: Eukaryota; Metazoa; Arthropoda; Insecta; Lepidoptera; Noctuidae. The record is from RefSeq and is a predicted model, not a curated record.
UAAAUAAGUUUUGAAAAUUCAACUGUUUAACUAUCACGGUUUUUGAGAUACAGCCUGGUGAUAAACGGAAAGGGCGCUAAGUCUUGUGAUAGUGUCCCGUUUUACCGAGACCACCGAGAAACUGAAAUCUUUUAAAACUUCAUUUCAAAAUGCAAAGUGAAAGAGAACGUGUCGUCGCUGCAGCAGCGGCUGUGAUAUUAAUUAACAAGUACCAAAUUAUGCGAUCUACGAGUAGUAAAAGGAAAAAGAAACCACGGCGCUGGUGGAUAUCAGCAUACAACAAAAGUCGUUUAACGACUUAAUAUGUCUAUAUACACUUACAUUAAAAUUUGAAUUAGAUAUAAUUUUAUUUAUUUUGUGUUUUGUCACACAUGGCAGUGGGAUCACGGUAGAAAAUUAACGAAUGACAUAAAAUCCCUGUCCGCACCUUUGAAGUUACCGACUUGCGACGGAUACCGGCGCACCGCUGCAGACGUUGCAAACGACCACGCACGAGGCCAUUCCCACGGUGCAUCGUGCGUGCUGGUCGGCGUCCGUCGGCGUGCGUCCGCGAAAACACGCACCGUGGGAAGCCGGUGUAAUACGGUCACGGGAUGACGGGAGGUAGUUACCACUGGACACGAGUGAACUCGUGCAAAAUAGGUAUUAUGCAAUAAAAGACGUAAAUGUAA